GACGAACGCUGGCGGCGUGCCUAAUACAUGCAAGUCGAACGCUUCUUUUUCCACCGGAGCUUGCUCCACCGGAAAAAAAAGAGUGGCGAACGGGUGAGUAACACGUGGGUAACCUGCCCAUCAGAAGGGGAUAACACUUGGAAACAGGUGCUAAUACCGUAUAACAAUCGAAACCGCAUGGUUUUGAUCUGAAAGGCGCUUUCGGGUGUCGCUGAUGGAUGGACCCGCGGUGCAUUAGCUAGUUGGUGAGGUAACGGCUCACCAAGGCCACGAUGCAUAGCCGACCUGAGAGGGUGAUCGGCCACAUUGGGACUGAGACACGGCCCAAACUCCUACGGGAGGCAGCAGUAGGGAAUCUUCGGCAAUGGACGAAAGUCUGACCGAGCAACGCCGCGUGAGUGAAGAAGGUUUUCGGAUCGUAAAACUCUGUUGUUAGAGAAGAACAAGGAUGAGAGUAACUGUUCAUCCCUUGACGGUAUCUAACCAGAAAGCCACGGCUAACUACGUGCCAGCAGCCGCGGUAA
Molecule: ribosomal RNA, 524 nt
Filed under: uncultured bacterium
Lineage: Bacteria
Description: partial 16S ribosomal RNA
Rfam family: Bacterial small subunit ribosomal RNA
Source: RNAcentral